UACAGAGGUCUCAACCGUUGUUCGGAUUUAUUGGGCGUAAAGGGUGCGUAGGUGGUCGUGUAAGUCGGAUGUGAAAUCCUAGGGCUCAACCCUGGAACUGCAUUCGAUACUGCAUGGCUUGAGCGCUGGAAAGGAGACUGGAAUUUACGGUGUAGCAGUGAAAUGCGUAGAUAUCGUAAGGAAGACCAGUGGCGAAAGCGAGUCUCUGGACAGAUGCUGACACUGAGGCACGAAGGCCAGGGGAGCAAACGGG
RNAcentral lists this ribosomal RNA (253 nucleotides) under uncultured bacterium. RNAcentral describes it as "partial 16S ribosomal RNA". It matches the Rfam family "Bacterial small subunit ribosomal RNA", at positions 524 to 776 of the family's 1533-position model. The record is from RNAcentral.